This 2102-nucleotide ribosomal RNA is filed under the name Triticum aestivum (bread wheat). Its description in RNAcentral is "partial small subunit ribosomal RNA". Lineage: Eukaryota; Viridiplantae; Streptophyta; Magnoliopsida; Poales; Poaceae. The record is from RNAcentral.
AUGAAUCAAGAAAUCCUAAUGACCAAGCAAUCAUCACCGACACAGAGUCAGGAAGAACAAGAACAUCCUCAACUGCAUGCCACCGUCGCGCAACAAGGCGGUGGCUCGACACCGUCCGAGUCCAACCACCAGCGCAGGAUCACCAUGAUUCCGCUCGUGUUCCUGUUGGCGCCGCUUCUCCUCACAGCGCCACUUCUUCUACCUCACACAACCAGGGGAACACACACAUGUAUGGACCAAGGAGGAGCCUAGAAAGCUUUGCCCAGAGGCUCUUCCCCUUGGUGAAUACGUUGGCUACAUUAUUUCUGCCUCAGCCCUCACGGCCUCUUUCAUUCUUACUAAAUCAAAGGUAUUUAUACAUGGCCAGGGCCAACGGCCUGGUCCACAAACCAUGCACACACACUCACUACGGUUAGCACACGUCCAUCAUUCCUAGAAUCACUCUAGGUCUAGAUGGUUCGGCCACUAACUUGACCGUCCACUACUAACAAAUUAACUCCAUGCAUUUAGCUAACAACUCUUCGCAUGCAAAGCUACUCCAAUAAACCGAACGACUUGCCAUGCAUCCGACUCAACUUGAACCAAUCCAUCAUGUUCCAGCCUUGUCACGUAUUGCCAACUGUCACUGCAUCGCCGUAUCGCACGACCUUGCCGUCUCGUGCAGCAUUGCAGCUUCACACUGUCAUCGGCAUCUUGUCGUGCUCGCCAUAUCGCACGGCAGCCUGGCAUCUCGCCUUCUCCGCGCGCCUCCAUGAAACCUUGCCACCUAGCUACUUCUAAGAGUACAUGCAAUUAGAAAAACUAAAUAUGCGGAUACAUUGAAUCAAAAUUAAUGCUAAUACGGCCCGUACGGCUCCGAGCAGGCAGUCCGCGCCGCCGGGCCGCUGUUCACUCUACUGGGCUUCCUCGUGUUCCCCUUGGCGUGUGGCGUCCCGGAAUCGCUUGUCACCGCCGAGCUCACCGCCGCGUUCCCGGGGAACGGCGGCUUCGUCCUCUGGGCAGACCACGCCUUUGGCCCGCUGGCAGGCUCGCUCCUCGGCAUGUGGAAGUACCUCAGCAUCGUCAUCAACAUCGCCGCCUACCCGGCUCUCGUGGCUGACUAUCUUGGUGGCGUGGUGCCGGCAGUCGCGAGACCCGGCAGGGCGCACAUGGGCACGGUGGUCGGCAUGACGCUUCUCCUCUCCUUGCUGAACUAUGCCGGCCUGAGCGUCGUCGGGUGGGGCGCGACAGCACUGGGGAUAGCCUCCCUGGCCCCGUUCGUGCUGAUGACGGCCAUGGCUGUGCCCAAAGUACGCCCGCGUCGGUGGGCGAAGCAGGUGAAGGGGAGGAAGAAAGACUGGAGGCUGUUCUUCAACACGCUGUUCUGGAACCUCAACUACUGGGACAGCGCGAGCACCAUGGCCGGCGAGGUGGAGCGGCCGGAGCGGACGUUCCCGCGGGCACUUGCAGCAGCGGUCGUUCUGAUUGCCGCCAGUUACCUGCUGCCGCUCAUGGCCGCAACCGGCGCCACGGACGCGUCGCCGGAUGCAUGGGUGAACGGCUACUUGGCUACCGCCGCAGGCAUCAUCGGGGGACCAUGGCUCAAGUACUGGACCGGUGCAGGCGCAGUAAUCUCCUCCAUUGGCAUGUUUGAGGCCCAAAUGAGCAGUGGCGCGUUCCAGCUCCAUGGUAUGGCGGACCGAGGCCUCCUCCCGUCCGUCUUCGGCAGUCGUGCCGCUCGCACCGGCACCCCAUGGGUUGCAAUCACUGCAUCAACCGCUAUCACCAUCGCCGUCUCCUUCCUCGGUUUCGACAACAUCGUCGCAACAUCAAAUUUCCUAUAUAGCCUGGGAACACUACUCGAGUUCUCCUCCAUCCUCUGGCUCCGAGUCAAGUACCCAACACUGAAGCGCCCAUACCAUGUGCCUCUGCCACUGCCCGCGCUCAUAGCCAUGUGCAUUGUGCCAUCGGUAUUCCUAUCUUACGUGUGUGUGGUUGCUGGGUGGAGGGUAUUCACCAUUGCUGCAGGGCUGACCGCGCUCGGUGUCGGGUGGCACGGCCUCAUGAAGCUGUGCAUAUCCAAGAAGUUGCUCAGUUUUCGCGUGCCUGAAUCAUCAUGUUGA